RNAcentral lists this ribosomal RNA (252 nucleotides) under uncultured bacterium. Its description in RNAcentral is "partial 16S ribosomal RNA". It matches the Rfam family "Bacterial small subunit ribosomal RNA", at positions 337 to 606 of the family's 1533-position model. The record is from RNAcentral.
GCCUACGGGACGCAGCAGUGGGGAAUAUUGCACAAUGGGGGGAACCCUGAUGCAGCAACGCCGCGUGAGUGAAGAAGUAUUUCGGUAUGUAAAGCUCUAUCAGCAGGGAAGAAGAUGACGGUACCUGAGUAAGAAGCCCCGGCUAACUACGUGCCAGAAGCCGCGGUAAUACGUAGGGGGCAAGCGUUAUCCGGAUUUACUGGGUGUAAAGGGAGCGUAGACGGUGAGACAAGUCUGAAGUGAAAGCCCGGG